RNAcentral lists this ribosomal RNA (254 nucleotides) under uncultured bacterium. RNAcentral's name for it is "partial 16S ribosomal RNA". It matches the Rfam family "Bacterial small subunit ribosomal RNA", at positions 335 to 586 of the family's 1533-position model. The record is from RNAcentral.
UCUCCUACGGGAGGCAGCAGUGAGGAAUAUUGGUCAAUGGGAGGAAUCCUGAACCAGCCAUGCCGCGUGCAGGACGACGGCUCUACGAGUUGUAAACUGCUUUUGUACCGGGGUAAAAUACCUUACGAGUAGGGUUUUGAAAGUACGGUACGAAUAAGGAUCGGCUAACUCCGUGACAGCAGCCGCGGUAAUACGGUGGGUGCGAGCGUUAAUCGGAAUUACUGGGCGUAAAGCGCUCAUCGGCGGUAUGUUAA